CAUCACGUCGCUGUUUAACUUAGUAGUAAACAUGUUUUUAGGAAUACCGUGCUACUAACUCAGUAACUGGUAGUACAACAUUACGAGGUGGUCGAUGUCAUUGUGUAUUUUUAUUUUAAUAGUAGAUUAGCGACGUGUUCUGGUUCGGGAAGAUAAAUACUAUCAAGAUGUGGUGUGUAGGUUACCUUGUGAAUUAUUUACGGUACAUGGUGUAAAUUGAAAUCACGUGUACUGAUUACUGUGGCACUGGCAGUGGAAGAUUUCCUUUUUAGUAGUUUAAACAUUGUUUAAUUAACUAAACUUUAAACUUCAAUUGAAUUUGAACUUUGACUUGUAAGUUUUAGAGAGUACAUAAUUAAUAGAUUGUACUAGUGCUAUAUAUGUAGUGACUACUACUAGUACUAGAUGAAACUGUUGACAGUGUUGUUACUGUUACUAGUGUGAAUACUGUGUAACGAAGUGUGUUUGUGCACAUCGAGGUUCGACGUUGGCAUUAAAAGACAAACAUCGUUAUUUAGAAGUCAGACCGUACUUUGAAGUUUGUGAUAAUUAUUAUAGCAGGAAACACGCACACACACACAUUAGGUGUAUAGAGUACAACAACAGUUGAGAACAUUCUCUGAAAAUAUGCCGGUCGAAGGAGGGGAGACGAAUAAAGACAACAGACCUCCUGUUCAUCUUGGUCACAACUAUGUUGAAAGUGUAGCUACUUCACUGGUCCGAGAAUUUCUGGCUCGAAAGAGUUUGAGUUCAACCUUAGAAGUGAUGGACCAAGAACUACCUCGUGACUCUGAAAGUAUCUCCAAUCGUGCAGUUUUAAUUCAUGAGCUACAUCUUGAGAAACUUGUGUUUAAGAACAAGAGCUGUUCAUCAUCCUUCAGAACAUUGAUAGAACUCAUUACAAAAGAAUUGUUAGAGAAAGCCUUCAAGCAUAAAACUUCCUCUAAAAUAAUGGCUGAUAAGUUAUCUCCAUCUCAUUUAGUCAAUGGUUUUAACUCAAGAACUGUUAGUGUUGACACGGGAGAAAUAAAUGAUGUUCCAUUUGCAAAACCAAAGACUUCUAAGAAAGAAAAAGAGGUUGAUAGCAAGAAACCAAAUGGAAAUCAUGCAACAAGAGUUGAUGAUUGUGGCAAACAUAACUGUCUAGAUGAUAACAAAACAAGAAAUAUGUGGAGAAACCAUAAUGGGACUAUUUCUCGACUAGAUCAAACAGCAAGAGAGAGAUAUCAUUCUUCAGUUGUUGAUGUUUCAGUUGAAAAUGUCUUAAAUGACGAUGAUCCUAUUGAUAUUUAUGAUUGUGGCCAUUCCCGUGUUGAGGAAUGGUUAAGCAUCAGUAGUGGAAACAAUGUAGAUCACAAUCAGAUAGAUGUAGUUGAGACCGUUGUAAAACCAUCUACUCUUCCUCGUACAUCAGGACAAAAAGUUUUGUCAUCUUCAAAGAAAUUAGACUGUGGUCCUGUUGUUAGUAGCACUGACCAUAUGUUGUCGAAAAGGUUGUCAGGCAAUGAUAUUGGAAUACCACGACCACACCUGCUUCCAUCAUUUAAAUUGGACUCCCAAGAGGAAAUUGAAAUAAAACCUAUAGUUUCUUCUUCUUCUACUUUUGUUAAGUUUGAGCAACCAUCUGAAGAUCUCAUUCUUCACAAAUCUAAUAAAGAAAGACUAAGGAAACACAGAAUUCCUUCUACUUCAACUGAGCAUGAUAAGGUGAUUCAAGAGCUCAGACAGAGGGUGGGUGACUUAGAAGUGCAAGAUCUUAGUGACACAGAAAUGGAAGAAGUGUUUGUUGCUCCAGUCAGUACAGUAGUAAAAAAGUCACCACAUACCAGGACAUUUAGGUCGAUUACAUUAUCUGAAGCCAUGAACUUGAAAAAGAUUAUUUUAGGGUCUCCAUUCCGAAACUUUAACUUAGAGUGGCAGCACCAGAAUUUUACUUUUUGCAACUAUCAAGAUGUGAUGUAUGGACUCGUGCAAAAGAAGGGUGGUCCAUGUGGAGUUGUGGCUGCAGUUCAAGCUUAUGUUAUUCUUCAUCUAGUGUUUGGUGAUAAACCAUCAUGCUUAAAAGAUGGAAGAUUACGACCAAGCAGACGUGAGAGGAAUCGUGCAUUAGCCUUGGCCAUAGCUUCAAUAUUAUGGAAAGCUGGAGAAAAAAAAAGAGCUGUUGUUGCUGUAUUGUCAGGGAGAACAGUUUUAGAUACUUGUGGAAAACUGAAAACCGAUGGAAUUAUAGAGAAGCUACUACUGAAGAGUUUUGAUUAUUAUGAAGAUUUGGUAAACUACCUUUGUGGGCGAACAGAAGAUCUGCAGUCUGACAAUUCAAGUAGUUGUAUCACUUUCCUAUACUCUGCCAUUUUAUCCCGAGGCAUUGACAGAGUUCUGAAAGACAUGGAUGAUCCACACUCCACAUUAAUUGGAAGACAUGGGUAUUGUACACAGGAGAUGGUAAACUUGUUUCUUAUUGGAAAGGCUGUGUCCAAUGUUUUUGAUGGAAUGGUGGAACUGGGCACAGCUGAUAAGGAUAAAACAAUCCUUCAUGGGAUUCCAGAAACAAGUGACAUAGGUUUUCUCUCCCUGUUUGAACAUUAUCAGUCUUGUGAGGAUCUCACUACAAGAACCCUCUAAAUCCUAUCUGGAUUGUUCUCAGUGAAAGCCACUUUUCUGUACUUUUUGCCACUUACAAAGGGGCACUUUCGGUAGACUUGGAAGGUUUCCUCUUUGACUUGUUUUACUAUGAUGGACUGGCUAGACAGGAUGAAGAAAUUUGUUUAACAAUAGAUCCAAAGGGAAAUGUAGUUCACGAACCGGAUGAUGUGGACUUGGUGCCUCCAUUAGAACUAUGUAUACAAACCAGGUGGAAAGGAGCUGCUGUAGACUGGAACAACACAGAACCAAUCUUGUAACUAAGACCACCUAUUCGUGGGUCACAGAAUUACCAUUAAGAAUUCACAUUUCACAUUGUGUGGUUCAGAGUUGCUGUUGAGAAUUAAAUGUUGUCCAAUGUACUUAAUUAAUAUAUUCAAAAGCAAAUACUUUUUAACCCUCUAAUGACCUGCAUAUAAAAUUUUUAAAUUUAAGGUUCCCUUGGUGGUUCACAGUAAGUUGGAGAGUUUAUAAUGCUAAAAAAGUGGGUUUAGAUACCUGCAGUGAGAAAAGCACAGAUAGCUCAUUGUGUAACUUUGUGCUUAACAAAAACAAGUCAAAUCAAAAUUUAAGUAGAAGUAGUGAUUCUAAGUUUGAUUCAAUAACUUUUAACUCAAAAAUAUGUUAGAGGUGAUGUUUUAUCAUAUACAUUUAGUGUAAUUUGCAAAGAAAGAAAAAAGAGAUGUUCCAUUUCUAUGCAACAUUAAGGCAUUUAUCAAUUUUUUAUUUUUCUGCCCUUCCCAAAGUACAAGUUUAUAUUUGCUAAAAAAAUGAUCUUCACUUAAUACUAUAGUUAUCCAUUAUCUUUUUUUCUAACCUGAAUUUUCUUUCUCUGUUAGUGGUUUUACUACUAUAGCCCUUUAUUCCCACCAUUUUAUGAUGUCACAGAAUUAAAUGUGGUCUGAACAAUUUCUAAUGAAAUACGUCCUUAAAAAUAUCUAUAGGCAACACUUACAUAUGAUCGGAUAGAGCAGAUUAUAAAAUAUUUACACCAGUGUAGAGUAGAUGAAGUGGUUUUUUAAGAGUUAAUAGUUCCUUGAUAAAGUGACUAACUGGAGCUUCUGUAGAAGUUGAACAAGGGUGUUCAGUGGGAAGUUUAGAAGAAUUCAGAACAAACCACAGAUCUGGGAAUUUUCUACUUUUUUUUCUUUACAUUCUUGUUAUUUCUUAAAAUGGUUAAUUAUACCUCUAUGAAAGCUUCAGACAUUUUCUUCCGUGAGAAGAUAUCUGGUAAGCUAGUUAGGUUUAAUGAGUACAGUAGGCAAUGGCAAAGUAUUCUGAUGAUUCAAAUCCUUAUUUAUUAAAUAUUAUUGUUAGAUUUAUCAAAUUUGAACAACACACCCAAAUAAAAGAAUUUAUUAUUGAUUGAAAGAAACUAUUUAUUACAUAAAAAUUGAUCCCAACGAAGAAUAUUGUUAGCAAAAAUCAUGGUAUCUGACUUGACAAAAGUAAUGGUGAUACUAUUUUUGAAAAGUCAGAUCUUCAGUGAUGGAUAGGUUUUUGUCAGUAUUUGCCAUGUUUUUAUGAUUUAUAGCCUGAAGUGCUGAUGACUGCAAUUGACAAAGUAUAAAAAAUGUUAAUGAAUAUCAAUCAAGUUGAAACUGACUAGAUAUAUAAAGUGAAACCUCCUUAACAACAAUAUUAAAAAUUUAAAUUCUAAGAUAAAAGGAAGUAUUUGUGAUACUUUUCAAAAUAAUGCUUCACAAUAAAAUUUUAAUGAUAGUCAUGUUUAUUCAAAAUAUAAGAAUUGUUAAUUUCUAAAACUAGACACUAUUUAGAAAGAUUAUAAAAAAUAUCAUGCAAUAUGGUUAAGAAUUUCUUUGUGAGGAGGAAAACAAUCAAGGGUUAUCAGUGUCACCCCUCCAGUCCAGAAAAGUGGGGCACAUGUAGUUAACUUUAAUUACUAUAGGAUGUUCAAGUAGAAAUCAAUAAAAGUGUUUUAUUAUAACCAAAGAACAAUAAAAACAUUAUCGUUUUGUUAUGAAAAAUACAUGUACCAUAAAAAUUUGUAGUGAACCACUAUUUAAAGAAAAAAAUUAUGCUAACUAAUUCUACAACUCUUAACCUAAUUGCAAAACAUUAUUACACUCUAGAACUAAAAGUUCACAAUUUUUAGAAGGUAACAAGUUGUAAAUAAACUUGGCUGCGUCUGAAUAUUAGAUGUUGCAAACAUGUAUGUUUUCAUCUAGAUCAUUUUUAUAUUUUAUAUAUUUCCAUCACCUUUCACUAUUUAUUGUUUUUAAGAUGCAUUAGAGCAAUAGUAUCUUGUAUUUUUCUCUAUAUGUAACUUUAUUGAGAAGUAGGAUGUUUUGCUAAUUUUAAAUUUCAACUAUAGCAUGAACAGUUUUCAAAGCUUACUGAGUUUGAAUUUCAGUAUUCAGUCAAAAGGAUGAUGAUUGAACUUAAUUAAAAGUAAAGAAACUGUAAUCAUUGUGUGUUAUACUAAGGAAAGAUGAUACAGUUUUUAAUACAAAAAUUCUAAAUGGCAACAUUGCUUGUUGUACAGUAAUAUUUUUAUAAUGUACAGAUGGGUUUGUAACUAAACUAAUGAAAUGUGCAUGUAAAACUUUUGACUUAAACCAAUAGUUGCAGUAGUAUGUUGAGACUUUAUAGAGCGGCACUUCUCCAAAAUUAUGUGCACAAGAUACACUGAUGCCAGUCAGAUGGUUAGGUUCUACUAGCAUAAAGUUAGUUGCUUGUAGGGGUAAAAAAUACUCAGAACUUCUUACUUUCAUCCACCUUCAUGAAACAAAUUGGGGUGUAGAAUCUUGAAGACAAGAAGAGGAGAACAAAAAUUAAAGCACAAGAUUAAGAAUCUUCAAAUGGCUUGUAUGAAAGACAUAUAAUCUGUAGUAAAAGUGUGGUGUAGACGUAAAAAUACUAGUCUAAAGAUAUAGAGAAAAGAGUUUGAAUACAAAGAAAUAGAAUUUAUUUAAAAAAGACGUUAAGGCUUACUGUGCUUGGUUUAAUGUAAUAGAAGAAAAAAUAGAAUAAAGUAAUUGUAAUGGAACGAAUAAUCUAUAGAUUUAUAAAACGAUGGUACAUGUACUACAACAGUAGUGAAUAGGAAAAUUCUGAAGUACAAGAGAAAAUAUAGAACAAAAAGAGCAGUGGUGAUGAUUGAAAUGAAAACGUUAGUUGUCAAGUGUAAUCUUCAUGCCAAGUUGUAGCUAAGCAACUCGUGUACAACACAAUGGUAGAAGACUGAGUAGUAACCUUAAACAUAGAAGAACCUGACUAAAGGAUAUAAUAAGAUCCAGCUUGUAAAUAUAAUUGUUAAGAACUUGUGACCAAAAGUAAGCUAGCCAUAUAAAUCAGUAGUCUUCAAUUAGUUGGAAAAUUUUCAUAUCCUUAAUGAUAAUUAUGUAAAUGUGAAAAUCACUGCUUCUAACAAAAGCACUAAUCUGUCAAAAAAAAAAGACAUUACAUGUGCUGAAAUUAAAAAUCCAGUGAUAUCAUAAGAAAUGCAUUCCAAAAGUGACAGAAAUGUUAAAUCAAGCAUUUAAGUGGUAUAAGCAUAGGUACUUGCCCCAAGGAGACUACAGAAAAAUAUCUUGGAAGAUCAGAACCUACAACUAUAAACCUCAGAAAAUUUCAAAAGAUGGGAUCUUAACAGUGGGUCAGUUACAUGUAGUGUACAAGGACAUAAUGAAAUAAGAUAUUUUGCAGCAAGUUAUAAUGUGUCUGUAAUGAGUGAGGAAGGUUACAUGUAUCGAAAAUUAGCCAAUUAUAAGCAUAUUUGAGAAGGAAUUCUGUGUUUACAUGUAAAGCCAGAAGAAUGGAAUAAUUUGUUAUGUAUACAAUAUUGUAAUUUAUUUAUUAAUUAAAGUAAAUAUUUUUCUAAACAAAUAUAAACUUAAUAUAGACUUAAUAGGUAUAUCUUGUACUUAGACCAUUUUUAAGGUUUGGGGAAAUUGAGGGCUGUAGGUUUCUCACUGCUAUAAUAUAAUAAAGUUUAAAAAUUACAGAUAUGAAAAUGUUUGCACUACUUUAACAUGUUAAUCUUUCUUGUGCUAGGCUCAUCAUCUCAUUUUAACUUUAAAUUCUUUUUUCACAACUUCUUAUGUUUCCGAAAAUCUUGGGUAGCAAAAUAAUAAUAAAGUAUUUCCAUUAUCUACAUAAA
This 6763-nucleotide unclassified non-coding RNA is filed under the name Limulus polyphemus (Atlantic horseshoe crab). Its description in RNAcentral is "probable ubiquitin carboxyl-terminal hydrolase MINDY- 4, transcript variant X5". Lineage: Eukaryota; Metazoa; Arthropoda; Merostomata; Xiphosura; Limulidae. The record is from RNAcentral.